RNAcentral lists this ribosomal RNA (139 nucleotides) under uncultured bacterium. RNAcentral describes it as "partial 16S rRNA". It matches the Rfam family "Bacterial small subunit ribosomal RNA", at positions 355 to 511 of the family's 1533-position model. The record is from RNAcentral.
UGGGGAAUAUUGCACAAUGGGGGAAACCCUGAUGCAGCAACGCCGCGUGAGUGAUGAAGGUUUUCGGAUCGUAAAGCUCUGUCUUUGGGGAAGAUAAUGACGGUACCCAAGGAGGAAGCCACGGCUAACUACGCGCCAG